UAGAUCAAUCAUCAACAUGAAUGAUCAGCUGAUAGUCUGUCCUCUUUCCCCGAUGUCAGUCAUGUCUUUUGAUAGGCACUGUAACCAGUGGUGUAGUGAUAUUUGUCAUCAUUUCUCAAUCAAUGUUUGUACUGACAGAUGACACCUUUAGAAUACCUUUAUAGAAUAUACAUCAAAUGCAUCCUCAGAUUACAACGUCUGACUAUAUCCACAUCGUCUCGGAGAAAAUGUUCUAUGUCCUUCACCAAGUCAGGAACAGCUCGUUUCAAAAUAGACUAAACAUCCAUGUCAAUCUUGAAUGAUAAUUCAUCACGUUUUACUGGUGAAAUGUCCACACUGCAUGCCAAUCAUCUCAAUCAUUAUCAUGAGAAUAUGCAUUUAGAUGUUAUUGAGUUACUGUUUCGUGAGUGAAUUAACCAGGAGCUAUAUGUAUCAAUCCUUUCCAGAUAACAGAGGCAAUGAGACUGUGGAGAGAGACCAGCUACAGACCAGUUACAACACACUGACUGAAGAGAGAGACCAGCUACAGAAGGAAAGAGAUGAUCUCAUGAGAAAGUUCUCUAAUCUGAAACAAACCUGUCCUGAUGGCUGGCAGAAGUUCAACUCCAGUUGGUACUUCCUGUCUACUGAGACUAAAACCUGGAAGGAGAGCAGAGAGGACUGUCUGGAGAGAGGAGCCGACCUGGUGAUCGUAAACAGUGAUAUGGAACAGCAGUUUCUCUUAGGCCUCAAUAAGGGAGCCUGGAUUGGUCUGACUGAUUCUGUUACUGAGGGGACCUGGAGAUGGGUGGACGACACCCCACUGACCAUAAGUUACUGGCACUCACAGCAACCUGAUAAUGGUCGUGACGACCCAAAAAAUGGGGAGGAGGACUGUGUUGAGCUGAACAUAGAAACCUGGCGUCCUGCAAAGGCAUGGAAUGACCAGUCAUGUUUAG
This is a long non-coding RNA of Oncorhynchus nerka (sockeye salmon), 938 nucleotides long. RefSeq lists it as uncharacterized. NCBI's taxonomy places the organism in Eukaryota, Metazoa, Chordata, Actinopteri, Salmoniformes, Salmonidae. The transcript is spliced from 4 exons. The record is from RefSeq and is a predicted model, not a curated record.